GAUGAAGAACGUAGCGAAAUGCGAUACUUGGUGUGAAUUGCAGAAUCCCGUGAACCAUCGAGUCUUUGAACGCAAGUUGCGCCCGAAGCCACUAGGCCGAGGGCACGCCUGCCUGGGCGUCACACGCCGUUGCCCCCCCAUCUACUCCUUCGGGAUUGCGGGGGGGCGGAUGAUGGCCUCCCGUGCGCCUAGCCGCGCGGUUGGCAUAAAUACCAAGUCCUCGGCGACGCACGCCACGACAAUCGGUGGUUGCGAAACCUCGGUUGCCCGUCGUGUGCGUUCGUCGCGCAUCGAGGGCUCGAAAAAAUGCUCGGCUCCGGCUGGGCUUUCAACGCGACCCCAUGUCAGGCGGGGUUACCCGCUGAAUUUAAGCAUAUCAAUAAGCGGAGGA
RNAcentral lists this unclassified non-coding RNA (391 nucleotides) under soil metagenome. RNAcentral's name for it is "partial contains 5.8S ribosomal RNA, internal transcribed spacer 2, and large subunit ribosomal RNA". The stretch from base 1 to 122 matches the Rfam family "5.8S ribosomal RNA", at positions 35 to 154 of the family's 154-position model. The record is from RNAcentral.